CGUAGGUGGCAAGCGUUGUCCGGAUUUAUUGGGUUUAAAGGGUGCGUAGGCGGUGUCCUAAGUCAGUUGUGAAAUACGGCAGCUUAACUGUCGUGGUGCAAUUGAUACUGGGACACUUGAGUACUGAUGAGGUAAGCGGAAUGGACGGUGUAGCGGUGAAAUGCUUAGAUAUCGUCCAGAACACCGAUAGCGAAGGCAGCUUACUAAGGAGUAACUGACGCUGAGGCACGAAAGUGUGGGGAUCAAACAGGAUUAGAUACCCUGGUAGUCCACACUGUAAACGAUGAUCACUCGAUGUUGGCGAUACACAGCCAGCGUCUUAGCAAAAGCGAUAAGUGAUCCACCUGGGGAGUACGCCGGCAACGGUG
This 368-nucleotide ribosomal RNA is filed under the name uncultured organism. RNAcentral's name for it is "bacterial SSU rRNA". It matches the Rfam family "Bacterial small subunit ribosomal RNA", at positions 526 to 896 of the family's 1533-position model. The record is from RNAcentral.